RNAcentral lists this non-coding RNA (88 nucleotides) under marine eukaryotic metagenome. RNAcentral describes it as "Cyclic di-GMP-I riboswitch". It matches the Rfam family "c-di-GMP-I riboswitch aptamer". Rfam says of the family: GEMM was predicted in a large-scale screen for bacterial structured RNA regulatory elements. The record is from RNAcentral.
GAAACGGCAAACCGCCGGAAACGGCGGGACGCAAAGUCACCGGCCUAAGACCCCGCGGAGGUGAGGGUUACGGCAGCGGAACCACCGA